UAUUAGAGGCACCGCCUGCCCAGUGACACAUGUUCAACGGCCGCGGUACCCUGACCGUGCAAAGGUAGCAUAAUCAUUUGUUCUCCAAUUAAGGACUUGCAUGAAAGGCCUAACGAGGAUUUUACUGUCUCCUACUUCCAAUCAAUGAAAUUGACCCCCCCGUGAAGAGGCAGGGAUAACCCUAUAAGACGAGAAGACCCUACGGAACUUUAAUUAACCAGCCUAAUCAUAACCCAUACAAACCUAGCAGGGACAACUUUCCAUGACCUAGGCUAACAAUUUCGGUUGGGGCGACCUCGGAGUACAAAAAACCCUCCGAAUGACCAUGCACCCAGACUUCACCAGUCAACGUGCCUCGAUAUCAACUCAAUUGACCCAAGUAAUUGAUCAACGGAACAAGCUACCCUAGGGAUAACAGCGCAAUCCUAUUUCAGAGUCCAUAUCGACAAUAGGGUUUACGACCUCGAUGUUGGAUCAGGACAUCCCAGUAGUGUA
Molecule: ribosomal RNA, 495 nt
Filed under: Bradypus variegatus (Brown-throated sloth)
Lineage: Eukaryota; Metazoa; Chordata; Mammalia; Pilosa; Bradypodidae
Description: partial 16S ribosomal RNA
Rfam family: Bacterial large subunit ribosomal RNA
Source: RNAcentral